GAGACCGGCGCACGGGUGCGUAACGCGUAUGCAAUCUACCUUGUACAGAGGGAUAGCCCCAGAGAAAUUUGGAUUAAUACCUCAUAGUAUUAUUGAAUGGCAUCAUUUAAUAAUUAAAGUUCCAACGGUACAAGAUGAGCAUGCGUCCUAUUAGCUAGUUGGUGUGGUAACGGCAUACCAAGGCUACGAUAGGUAGGGGUCCUGAGAGGGAGAUCCCCCACACUGGUACUGAGACACGGACCAGACUCCUACGGGAGGCAGCAGUGAGGAAUAUUGGACAAUGGGCGCAAGCCUGAUCCAGCCAUGCCGCGUGCAGGAAGACGCAUCUAUGGUGUGUAAACUGCUUUUGUACGGGAAGAAACACUCCCUCGUGAGGGAGCUUGACGGUACCGUAAGAAUAAGGAUCGGCUAACUCCGUGCCAGCAGCCGCGGUAAUACGGAGGAUCCAAGCGUUAUCCGGAAUCAUUGGGUUUAAAGGGUCCGUAGGCGGUUUAAUAAGUCAGUGGUGAAAGCCCAUCGCUCAACGAUGGAACGGCCAUUGAUACUGUUAGACUUGAAUUACAAGGAAGUAACUAGAAUAUGUAGUGUAGCGGUGAAAUGCUUCAUCUUACAUGGAUACCAAUUGCGAAGGCAGGUUACUACUUGUGGAUUGACGCUGAUGGACGA
This 666-nucleotide ribosomal RNA is filed under the name uncultured Flavobacteriales bacterium. RNAcentral's name for it is "bacterial SSU rRNA". It matches the Rfam family "Bacterial small subunit ribosomal RNA", at positions 91 to 756 of the family's 1533-position model. Lineage: Bacteria; Pseudomonadati; Bacteroidota; Flavobacteriia; Flavobacteriales. The record is from RNAcentral.